GACGAACUGUGCAAACGUUAUUCGGAAUCACUGGGCUUGAAGAGUGCGUAGGCGGUUUCGUAAGCAGGGUGUGAAAGCCCCCAGCUCAACUGGGGAACUGCGUCCUAAACUGCGAGGCUGGAGUGAGGUAGGGGUGUGUGGAACUUCCGGUGGGGCGGUGAAAUGUGUUGAUAUCGGAAGGAACGCCGGUGGCGAAAGCGACACACUGGGCCUUGUCUGACGCUGAGGCACGAAAGCCAGGGGAGCAAACGGG
This 253-nucleotide ribosomal RNA is filed under the name uncultured bacterium. RNAcentral describes it as "partial 16S ribosomal RNA". It matches the Rfam family "Bacterial small subunit ribosomal RNA", at positions 524 to 776 of the family's 1533-position model. The record is from RNAcentral.